AUUGAACGCUGGCGGCAUGCCUUACACAUGCAAGUCGAACGGCAGCACGGGUGCUUGCACCUGGUGGCGAGUGGCGAACGGGUGAGUAAUACAUCGGAACAUGCCCUGUAGUGGGGGAUAGCCCGGCGAAAGCCGGAUUAAUACCGCAUACGAUCUACGGAUGAAAGCGGGGGACCUUCGGGCCUCGCGCUAUAGGGCUGGCCGAUGGCUGAUUAGCUAGUUGGUGGGGUAAAGGCCUACCAAGGCGACGAUCAGUAGCUGGUCUGAGAGGACGACCAGCCACACUGGGACUGAGACACGGCCCAGACUCCUACGGGAGGCAGCAGUGGGGAAUUUUGGACAAUGGGCGAAAGCCUGAUCCAGCAAUGCCGCGUGUGUGAAGAAGGCCUUCGGGUUGUAAAGCACUUUUGUCCGGAAAGAAAUCCUUGGCCCUAAUACGGUCGGGGGAUGACGGUACCGGAAGAAUAAGCACCGGCUAACUACGUG
This 486-nucleotide ribosomal RNA is filed under the name uncultured bacterium. RNAcentral's name for it is "partial 16S ribosomal RNA". It matches the Rfam family "Bacterial small subunit ribosomal RNA", at positions 30 to 507 of the family's 1533-position model. The record is from RNAcentral.